RNAcentral lists this long non-coding RNA (1830 nucleotides) under Triticum aestivum (bread wheat). Its description in RNAcentral is "long non-coding RNA (TAES_LNC001357)". Lineage: Eukaryota; Viridiplantae; Streptophyta; Magnoliopsida; Poales; Poaceae. The record is from RNAcentral.
AAUUGGUUUAAUUUAUUUGGGCUGAUGCAUUAUUUUUUCAAAAGCAUGCACAUUUAAGGAUAGGCCCAUCAGAGAACAAAUACAACAUAAUACAAUAUUCAGAUAGACUGUAUAUUUCAUUUCAGCAGCACAUCACAUGAAAUACAAUACAUCAUCAAUCGACUCCUCUACACAGCAAGGUUCAAGGCCCAACAAGUGCACAACAAAAUAGUUCUACAAGUGCAAGUGCAAGUGCACAACAAAAAGGCCCAACAAGUGCACAAGCGCACAUCAACAUAGACUGGACGAGAAGCACAAAUUUUAGCUGAUAACACAUCACAUCAAUGAGAAGCACGAAUAUCGUGCACCAUGACUGGUACACGUACUUUGUCCCAUCACCCAGGCACCAAUGUUGUGUCCAUCUACUGGUUUGCCACAUGGUGAUGUUACCGCAUUAGGGCCGUCCCAGCUUCUCCCUACCCAAAUGGUAGGAUGGUCUACUGAUCGAUGUACUGCUCCAGCAUCACUCCCGCUACCACUGGUGGAAGAAGAUCAGCUCAUCAAUCAUCUGCACGCGAACAAACAAAGAAGAUUAACCUAUUUAGCCUACUGUAAUUUGUUUCUAAACAUGGGCAUCAAAUCAACACCAACACUAAAUUAAAAUGCACAAAAGAAUGGAGCAUAGCCGUAUGUACAGCCUAACAACUUUAGGUUUGAGCCAUUUUUUAUACUACAAUAAAUACAUAAAAGCCAAAAUUUUGAUCCAUGGACACCACAUGAUAGAAAAGGUACUAAGGCACUACUUUCUACUAAAAACCAAAGCAAGGUAUGAAGCACAGGCCAGGCCAACAAUAAACUACUACCAAGUCCAGAAAUAACCAUCUGAAAUGAAGUUAAUGAGACAUUUUAGAAUCAACUUGAUAGUUGACAUUAUUGUUUGUGUUGCACACAUCUAGAAUUGAAAUUAUACAUCAUGCCCGAAUUCCGAUGUCCAAUGCCUCAGUUCAAUAAACACUAAUCAUGGUACAUAGUAAAGAUUUGACACAACCGGAACUGAAAUCACUAACUCCUUCAAUUACUACACUAAUUUUAUUACACAACCAGGCAACGAAAUCCAACACAGGCACACAGACUAUAGGAGUUGGAACUUGGAAAUGCAGGUGUACAAUUAGUGCAUCACAUACCUAGUAUCUAACUAUCAAUAGUGGUCAACAUGUAAAAGCCAACUAGCAGUAAUUGAUGAUUAGUAAACAUAGACAGGAACUAAAUUCAGUAGUAAUGUGCGUGCUCUUAUCAAACCAGAGCAAGUAAAGGAGCUAAUCCCCAUGAGUGAAACAAAUUCGAUCACAACAACAAUCCAUAACGUUUAGUAACAACAAUAAGAAGGCCCUUAAACAGAGAACAGGUUGAAUCAUGCAUCGAUUAAAGUGUCUGUUCUUGGUUUCUCUUGGUUAGAAGAUAGACCGAUCAGAAACCGGAGAGAGACUGAACAUGCAGAAUUAUGUAUGGAUUGUCAAAACUUGCAUUAUCCUACUAUCACUAGUACAACAAGCUGCAGGUUGGCAUAGUUCAUGAACCAUGUACAUCAUGACAAAUACAAUAUCAUCCAAUGCUCAACUAUGAACAAAAUUGAACAAUUACACGUCACAAAGGCGGAGCAUAGAACCAAGCAGCAAGUAAGAGGGGUAGAAGGGGACGUGAGGAGCUCACCGGAGGGGGUUGUAGCCUAGGCCGAGCUUCAUCACCACGGCGGCAGCUAGGGGAGGCAGACAUGUCUACCAUCAUAGGAGCAGCACCACCGCCAGAACUGGAAUGGCCGGAGCAAAUCACCAUCAUAUGGGUCACCACCAC